RNAcentral lists this ribosomal RNA (460 nucleotides) under uncultured bacterium. RNAcentral describes it as "partial 16S ribosomal RNA". It matches the Rfam family "Bacterial small subunit ribosomal RNA", at positions 338 to 795 of the family's 1533-position model. The record is from RNAcentral.
CCUACGGGUGGCAGCAGUGAGGAAUAUUGGUCAAUGGGCGAGAGCCUGAACCAGCCAAGUCGCGUGAGGGAAGACGGUCCUAUGGAUUGUAAACCUCUGUUGUCGGGGAGCAAAAAGGCCUCGUGAGGCCACAAGGGAGAGGACCCGAAGAAAAAGCAGCGGCUAACUCCGUGCCAGCAGCCGCGGUAAUACGGAGGAUGCGAGCGUUAUCUGGAUUUAUUGGGUUUAAGGGGUGCGUAGGCGGACUGGAAAGUCAGCGGUAAAAUCGAGCGGCUCAACCUCUUUCCGCCGUUGAAACUGUCGGUCUUGAGUGGGCGAGACGUAUGCGGCAUGCGUGGUGUAGCUGUGCACUGCAUAGAUCUCACGCAGAACUCCGAUUGCGAAGGCAGCAUACCGGCGCCCGCCUGACGCUGAGGCCCGAAAGCGUGUGUAUCGAACAGGAUUAGCUCCCCUAGUAGUC